Non-coding RNA from Cinara cedri, 244 nucleotides. The record is from the annotation of a GenBank genome assembly. Lineage: Eukaryota; Metazoa; Arthropoda; Insecta; Hemiptera; Aphididae.
CCGAUAGUGGAGCUCUAGAAGAAUUUCUCAGAAUGCCAGAAACAUUGGCGGGCAUGCAUCCAACAAUUCACCAAAGUUUUAUCGCAAUCGAAUGAUCGAUUAGGAAGACAAAAGAGAUAUACGGACAUUUUGAUAUACAUAGAUGUCGAACUGAUUUCGUAGUUAGUUUUCGUGUAUGGUGAAAACCAAUGCCUUAAAAACCACGGGUUUUUCAAAUAGUUCCAAUAUUUAGCAAGAGUUUAAU